This 201-nucleotide ribosomal RNA is filed under the name uncultured bacterium. RNAcentral describes it as "partial 16S ribosomal RNA". It matches the Rfam family "Bacterial small subunit ribosomal RNA", at positions 1300 to 1500 of the family's 1533-position model. The record is from RNAcentral.
GAAGGCUGAAAUUCGCCUUCAUGAAGCCGGAAUUGCUAGUAAUGGCAGGUCAGCAUACUGCCGUGAAUACGUUCCCGGGCCUUGUACACACCGCCCGUCACACCAUGAGAGUUGGAGAUACCCGAAGCCUGUGAGCUAACAGAAAUGGAGCAGCAGUCGAAGGUAGAAUCAAUGAUUGGGGUGAAGUCGUAACAAGGUAUC